AGAGGCUUUAGCAGACACUUGCCCCUCCCCGGCAGUUGAACACAGUCUGUGCUGGCUUCUUUAGUCAGUGAAUCAAGCUCAGGGUGAUAGGGUUGAAGCAACAGGAUGAGAGAUCUCAAACAUGCUACUGAAUGUUGUGCUCUGACAAAACUACAUGGCUUCCUUUAUCAAGGCAGCUGUGUUUUUAAAUAAAUAAUCUUAAUUUGGCCUGCAGAAGGAUUACGCCUGAUACCCAAAUGUACUGCCUUGAAAGGUCGCCUUGACUUCCUCAAGGAGUUUAAAUCAAGGCAUUCAGGAUACCAGAUCAGAAGGCCUCACAGACUGAGGAUUAUCAAAGCAUAUCCCACUUUCUUCAGUUGUUUUUGAGAAGCAUUCAAACAUUCUGUGGAUUUUGUCUUCUCUCUGAAGCCUGUAGGGUAGUUGGAAAGAGAUUAGCACCGAACACCGUAGUGUUCUUCAUUAGCUGGUAAGAGCCAUUACAUUUUCAGCACAAACCUUGGGAGAAUUGUUAAAUAUUUU
Molecule: long non-coding RNA, 519 nt
Filed under: Phasianus colchicus (ring-necked pheasant)
Lineage: Eukaryota; Metazoa; Chordata; Aves; Galliformes; Phasianidae
Description: lncRNA (ENSPCLG00000002158.1)
Source: RNAcentral